RNAcentral lists this ribosomal RNA (428 nucleotides) under Bacteroidota bacterium. Its description in RNAcentral is "Bacteroidetes bacterium partial 16S ribosomal RNA". It matches the Rfam family "Bacterial small subunit ribosomal RNA", at positions 355 to 776 of the family's 1533-position model. The record is from RNAcentral. Lineage: Bacteria; Pseudomonadati; Bacteroidota.
UAGGGAAUCUUCCGCAAUGGACGCAAGUCUGACGGAGCAACGCCGCGUGAGUGAAGAAGGAUUUCGGUUCGUAAAACUCUGUUGUUAGAGAAGAACAGCGCAUAGAGUAACUGUUAUGCGUGUGACGGUAUCUAACCAGAAAGCCACGGCUAACUACGUGCCAGCAGCCGCGGUAAUACGUAGGUCCCGAGCGUUGUCCGGAUUUAUUGGGCGUAAAGCGAGCGCAGGCGGUUAGAUAAGUCUGAAGUUAAAGGCAGUGGCUCAACCAUUGUAGGCUUUGGAAACUGUUUAACUGGAGUGCAGAAGGGGAGAGUGGAAUUCCAUGUGUAGCGGUGAAAUGCGUAGAUAUAUGGAGGAACACCGGUGGCGAAAGCGGCUCUCUGGUCUGUAACUGACGCUGAGGCUCGAAAGCGUGGGGAGCGAACAGG